This 207-nucleotide unclassified non-coding RNA is filed under the name Marquandomyces marquandii. Its description in RNAcentral is "Metarhizium marquandii partial internal transcribed spacer region". The stretch from base 1 to 46 matches the Rfam family "Eukaryotic small subunit ribosomal RNA", at positions 1786 to 1831 of the family's 1831-position model. Lineage: Eukaryota; Fungi; Ascomycota; Sordariomycetes; Hypocreales; Clavicipitaceae. The record is from RNAcentral.
AAGUCGUAACAAGGUCUCCGUUGGUGAACCAGCGGAGGGAUCAUUACCGAGUUUACAACUCCCAAACCCCUGUGAACAUACCUAUACGUUGCCUCGGCGGUUCGCGCCGCCGGGUGACACCUAAACCCUGAUUUAAUUACAGAAGUCUUUCUGAGUAAAAACAUUCUAAAUGAAUCAAAACUUUCAACAACGGAUCUCUUGGUUCUG